This 254-nucleotide ribosomal RNA is filed under the name uncultured bacterium. RNAcentral describes it as "partial 16S ribosomal RNA". It matches the Rfam family "Bacterial small subunit ribosomal RNA", at positions 524 to 776 of the family's 1533-position model. The record is from RNAcentral.
GACGGAGGGGGCUAGCGUUGUUCGGAAUUACUGGGCGUAAAGGGCGCGUAGGCGGCCACCGCAAGUCGGUUGUGAAAUCUCCGGGCUUAACCCGGAAAGGUCAAUCGAUACUGCGGGGCUAGAGUGCAGAAGGGGCAACUGGAAUUCUCGGUGUAGCGGUGAAAUGCGUAGAUAUCGAGAGGAACACCUGCGGCGAAGGCGGGUUGCUGGGCUGACACUGACGCUGAAGCGCGAAAGCUAGGGGAGCGAACGGG